GAUGAACGCUGGCGGCGUGCCUAAUACAUGCAAGUCGAGCGAACAGACGAGGAGCUUGCUCCUCUGACGUUAGCGGCGGACGGGUGAGUAACACGUGGAUAACCUACCUAUAAGACUGGGAUAACUUCGGGAAACCGGAGCUAAUACCGGAUAAUAUAUUGAACCGCAUGGUUCAAUAGUGAAAGACGGUUUUGCUGUCACUUAUAGAUGGAUCCGCGCCGCAUUAGCUAGUUGGUAAGGUAACGGCUUACCAAGGCUACGAUGCGUAGCCGACCGGAGAGGGUGAUCGGCCACACUGGAACUGAGACACGGUCCAGACUCCUACGGGAGGCAGCAGUAGGGAAUCUUCCGCAAUGGGCGAAAGCCUGACGGAGCAACGCCGCGUGAGUUAUGAAGGUCUUCGGAUCGUAAAACUCUGUUUUUAGGGAAGAACAAAUGUGUAAGUAACUAUGCACGUCUUGACGGUACCUAAUCAGAAAGCCACGGCUAACUACGUG
This 497-nucleotide ribosomal RNA is filed under the name uncultured bacterium. Its description in RNAcentral is "partial 16S ribosomal RNA". It matches the Rfam family "Bacterial small subunit ribosomal RNA", at positions 28 to 507 of the family's 1533-position model. The record is from RNAcentral.